RNAcentral lists this ribosomal RNA (402 nucleotides) under uncultured prokaryote. RNAcentral's name for it is "bacterial SSU rRNA". It matches the Rfam family "Bacterial small subunit ribosomal RNA", at positions 355 to 774 of the family's 1533-position model. The record is from RNAcentral.
UAGGGAAUAUUAGAAAUGGACGAAAGUCUGAUCUAGCAACACCGCGUGUGCGAAGAAGGCCUUCGGGUUGUAAAGCACUUUUUGGAAGGAUUAGGAAGGAAUGUACUUCCAGAAUAAGUCUCGGCUAACUACGUGCCAGCAGCCGCGGUAACACGUAGGAGGCAAACGUUAUCCGGAUUUACUGGGCGUAAAGCGCGUGUAGGUGGUUCUGUAAGUAGGGCGUGAAAGCUCCUGGCUCAACUGGGAGAGGCCGUUCUAAACUGCAGAGCUAGAGGAUGGUAGAGGGAGGUGGAAUUCCGGGUGUAGCGGUGGAAUGCGCAGAUAUCCGGAGGAACACCAGUGGCGAAAGCGAUCUACUGGACCUUAACUGACACUGAGACGCGAAAGCCAGGGUAGCAAACG